AUUGAACGCUGGCGGCAUGCCUUACACAUGCAAGUCGAACGGUAACAGGUCUUUCGGGAUGCUGACGAGUGGCGAACGGGUGAGUAAUACAUCGGAACGUGCCUAGUAGUGGGGGAUAACUACUCGAAAGAGUGGCUAAUACCGCAUGAGAUCUAUGGAUGAAAGCAGGGGACCUUCGGGCCUUGUGCUACUAGAGCGGCCGAUGGCAGAUUAGGUAGUUGGUGGGAUAAAAGCUUACCAAGCCUACGAUCUGUAGCUGGUCUGAGAGGACGAUCAGCCACACUGGGACUGAGACACGGCCCAGACUCCUACGGGAGGCAGCAGUGGGGAAUUUUGGACAAUGGGCGCAAGCCUGAUCCAGCAAUGCCGCGUGCAGGAUGAAGGCCUUCGGGUUGUAAACUGCUUUUGUACGGAACGAAAAGUCUUGGGUUAAUACCCUGGGAUCAUGACGGUACCGUAAGAAUAAGCACCGGCUAACUACGUGCCAGCCGCCGCCGUAACAC
RNAcentral lists this ribosomal RNA (503 nucleotides) under uncultured bacterium. RNAcentral describes it as "bacterial SSU rRNA". It matches the Rfam family "Bacterial small subunit ribosomal RNA", at positions 30 to 526 of the family's 1533-position model. The record is from RNAcentral.